UACGGGGGGGGCAAGCGUUGUUCGGAAUUACUGGGCGUAAAGGGCACGUAGGCGGCUCGGCAAAUCGGUCGUGGAAUCUCGACGCUUACCGUCGAAACGGCGGCCGAAAAUACCGGGCUCGAGGGCGUGAGGGGUCACUGGAACUCCUGGUGAAGCGGUGAAAUGCGUAGAUAUCAGGAGGAACGCCGGAGGCGAAAGCGAGUGACUGGCGCGUUCCUGACGCUGAGGUGCGAAAGCUAGGGGAGCAAACAGG
Molecule: ribosomal RNA, 253 nt
Filed under: uncultured bacterium
Lineage: Bacteria
Description: partial 16S ribosomal RNA
Rfam family: Bacterial small subunit ribosomal RNA
Source: RNAcentral